GAUGAACGCUGACAGAAUGCUUAACACAUGCAAGUCAACUUGAACUUCGGUUUGGGUGCGGACGGGUGAGUAACGCGUAAAGAACUUGCCUCACAGAUAGGGACAACAUUUGGAAACGAAUGCUAAUACCUGAUAUUAUGAUUUUAGGGCAUCCUAGAAUUAUGAAAGCUAUAUGCACUGUGAGAGAGCUUUGCGUCCCAUUAGCUAGUUGGAGAGGUAACGGCUCACCAAGGCGAUGAUGGGUAGCCGGCCUGAGAGGGUGAUCGGCCACAAGGGGACUGAGACACGGCCCUUACUCCUACGGGAGGCAGCAGUGGGGAAUAUUGGACAAUGGACCAAGAGUCUGAUCCAGCAAUUCUGUGUGCACGAUGAAGUUUUUCGGAAUGUAAAGUGCUUUCAGUUGGGAAGAAAGAAAUGACGGUACCAACAGAAGAAG
Molecule: ribosomal RNA, 436 nt
Filed under: Fusobacterium periodonticum
Lineage: Bacteria; Fusobacteriati; Fusobacteriota; Fusobacteriia; Fusobacteriales; Fusobacteriaceae
Description: bacterial SSU rRNA
Rfam family: Bacterial small subunit ribosomal RNA
Source: RNAcentral